This 328-nucleotide ribosomal RNA is filed under the name uncultured eukaryote. Its description in RNAcentral is "partial 18S ribosomal RNA". It matches the Rfam family "Eukaryotic small subunit ribosomal RNA", at positions 1470 to 1796 of the family's 1831-position model. The record is from RNAcentral.
CCCUUGGAUGUCCGGGGCUGCACGCGCGCUACACUGAAGGAAUCAGCGUGCUAAAACCAUUGUCGAAAGGCAUUGGUAAACCCAUUAAAAUCCUACGUGAUUGGGAUCGGGAAUUGCAAUUAUUUCCCUUGAACGAGGAAUUCCCAGUAAGUGUGGGUCAUAAGCUCGCGUUGAUUACGUCCCUGCCCUUUGUACACACCGCCCGUCGCUGCCCGGGACUGAGCCGUUUCGAGAAAAGCGGGGACUGCUGCUGUCGGGGCUUUCGGGCCUUGGCUUCGGUGGAAACCGCUUUAAUCGCAGUGGCUUGAACCGGGCAAAAGUCGUAACA